Molecule: long non-coding RNA, 2194 nt
Organism: Tribolium castaneum (red flour beetle)
Lineage: Eukaryota; Metazoa; Arthropoda; Insecta; Coleoptera; Tenebrionidae
Exons: 3
Source: RefSeq, a predicted model, not a curated record
AACACAAAUUUUGCAAUUUUUACUUCCUGUCACACCGCUUUGCCACGUCCUUGGAACGCUGUAAUAAUAAUUAAUUUUCACUCACGAAUCAAAUGUUAUUAAGCAAUUACUGAAUUUGUUUAUGGUCCAUUCAUUAAUGCGCAUUUAACCUCGUCAGUGAUGAUUUUUUUUGUGAAUUGUUGGAAAUAGUGCAAGUCAGUUAUCACAACAAUCGCAAUGUUAUCAGUUGGGUUUUAUCAUUGAUUUGCAUGUCUAGUCGAGUAACUAAUUCUUGGGGAAAUAAUUCGCCGCUUGUGGAAAAAUGUGUUAGUGAUAGCAGAAGGACAUUCACUUGAUGUAUUUAUGGCUUGUUAUAUCACAGAGAAAAAUAACAAUGGGUUUUAUUGUUUUAUUUUGUUUGUUAUUUUUUUCGCGGCGAUUAUUGGUUCAUAAAUGGGAUUACCGAUGUGGGUUUAUUUGCUUUUCCUAAUGUUUUUGUAAUUUGAAAUAAAUGGGUUUGGGGAAAACAGCGGGGGUACUUAAGUACUGGCACAUCUGGUCAUCUCAAGCCGGAUAUUGGGCACAAUAGAACACAUGUUGCCUUUAUCUUUCUAUUUUCUUAAAAUAGGACCAUUGGAAUGCAAACGGCAUUUAAAAGUGAUUUAUCUUGUAUCAGAUGAUCUUGCAAAAAUUAAUUCUUGUGAAAGGGGCGUUCAAGAUAUAAUCUGAACAAUGAUAGAUAAUAAAUGGAAUUAAUUAAUUGGUUUAAAAUUGACUGAAACUGAAUAUCGCAUAUCAGUUUAUGCGAGACAAAGAUGAAAAAUUAGGCGAAAACUUCAAUUAAAUUCGAGUUUAGUUUAUCGAAGCGUGAAGUAAGAGCUGUUAAAAGCAUCGAAAAAAAACUGUGUUUAGAUAUUCUCAUUAUUUAUAAAAAAUAGUUAAUAAAUAGUAAUAUUCGGUCGGAUAUUUAUUAUAAGGGACUGGAUUUUUAGGACAAAAAACAAAAAUUAGAAUGUUUUGUAUAGUUUGUCACUACCUAAGUUUUCCACAACUCCCGGAGUACAUUUUACAAGAAUUUACACUUUCUUGACGAGUUAAAUUGGUUUAGUAAGUGACAGGUCUACUAAUUUUGUUAUGUCAUUACUAAAGAAAGAGUGAGAAAAAAAUAUUCUGAAUAAAAGACCAAUACACAAGAGACUGAAAAGGUCUAAGUGAUUGAAAGAGUGGUAUAUUAAAACUGAAAUUAUAAGACAGUGAAGCAACGAAAAAUUGAAAAAUUUAGGAAAUAGGUAAAUGCGAAAAAUGCAUGGAAAAUUAAGAAACUAAAAUGGUGAAAUACUGAGAAUAAACUUAAAAAUUGUGUAACUGAAACAAUAAAAAACUAUGAGAUUGAAAGGCUGGAAGUCUAGGAGGAUUGUUAAAAGUUGAAUAACGUGAAAAAGUUAAAUGGAACACCCUAUUUUUGUUUUAUGCCUUUGAAAGAUUAUUAAAUUGUCUAUGUGAAAACAUAAGUCAUAAAUUUAUUAUGCUACUUUGGUACGUUUUUGAAAAAAUCUUGCGAAACAAUUAAGUUUUCCUGAAAAAUUUGCGAAAUGUUUGAGUUUGAACACGAACUAAUUGCGAGAAUCAAUUUUCUUCGAAAACAAAUCGAUCACAAUUUAUCGACGAUUUUUUAAACCACGUGUAAUAGCAAAUUUGAACGUUCUUAGAGAAAACAAUGAAAUUCCAGAUGGAUUGGGCGACAUUUACAAAAUAAUCAAACAAUAACUUUUUGCUCAGUAUUAAUCGCCUUAUGAUUGGUCUGUUUUACACUUGGGAGUGCAUUCUCCCUCCCCGAUAUCCAAUGACAAAUGCUUCAAUCGUCUUGCAAUUUUUUGUGCAGCAGAUAAUCAAGAAGGAGGUGAUUUCUUUAUUUUUAUUGGCCAAAUUAUUCACUUCGGGAACAAAUAAAACACGAGCAAACAGGUUUUAGGGUCGGUCUUUCACACAACGGGAUUUCGCCUUAGAUGCGAAUAAAAUGGUCGAUCCUGUUUAGUUUUUUAAACAUUUUGUUUUAUUUUUAUUAUUACACAAAAACUACAAAUCCUAGAAAAGUAUCAAUUGGAAAAUCUACACCAUCGGAUUGGAAAAAAUAAUAAUUACAAUUAUAACAAUUAAAAUCAAUAAAUUUUUAAAAUCAAAAUUAACAAUUGGCCAAGCAAUUUUCAUAUUUUUA